GACGAACGCUGGCGGCGUGCUUAACACAUGCAAGUCGAACGGAAAGGCCUGCAUUCCCUUCUUCAGUGCGGGUACUCGAGUGGCGAACGGGUGAGUAACACGUGAGUCAUCAGCACCCAACUUGGGUCUAAGCCCGGGAAACUGGGUCUAAUUCUCGAUAGCACUGCAGGGUGGUGCCUGGGGUGGCAAUCGAUUUUCUACUGGUUGGGGAAGAGCUCGCGGCGUAUCAGCUUGUUGGUGGGGUAAUGGCCCACCAAGGCGGCGACGGGUAGCCAGAGUGGGAGGGUGGACAGUGACAUUGAGACUGAGAUGCGACCCAGACUCCUAGGGGCGGCAGCGAUGGGGACGAGAAGGCGAAGGGCGGAAGACUGCAGCAGCGAGGGAGUGUGGAGGAUGACGGGAUUCGGGAUGUAUGCUCCUAUGGACCGCGAAAAAGGCACCUAGAUGGGAAGGUAGUGACGGUACUGGAGGAGAAAGCACCGGCUAACUACGUG
This 494-nucleotide ribosomal RNA is filed under the name uncultured bacterium. RNAcentral's name for it is "partial 16S ribosomal RNA". It matches the Rfam family "Bacterial small subunit ribosomal RNA", at positions 28 to 507 of the family's 1533-position model. The record is from RNAcentral.